ACUCAAAUGAAUAGACGGGGGCCCGCACAAGCGGUGGAGCAUGUGGUUCAAUUCGACGCAACGCGCAGAACCUUACCUGGUCUUGACAUCCUCGGAACCUGCCAGAGAUGGUGGGGUGCCCGCAAGGGAACCGAGAGACAGGUGCUGCAUGGCUGUCGUCAGCUCGUGUCGUGAGAUGUUGGGUUAAGUCCCGCAACGAGCGCAACCCUCGCCUUUAGUUGCCACGCAAGUGGAUCUCUAGAGGGACUGCCGGUGUUAAACCGGAGGAAGGUGGGGAUGACGUCAAGUCCUCAUGGCCUUUAUGACCAGGGCUACACACGUGCUACAAUGGCCGGUACAAAGCGCUGCCAACCCGCGAGGGGGAGCCAAUCGCAUAAAACCGGUCUCAGUUCAGAUUGGAGUCUGCAACUCGACUUCAUGAAGGCGGAAUCGCUAGUAAUCGUAGAUCAGCACGCUACGGUGAAUACGUUCCCGGGCCUUGCACACACCGCCCGU
Molecule: ribosomal RNA, 495 nt
Filed under: uncultured bacterium
Lineage: Bacteria
Description: partial 16S ribosomal RNA
Rfam family: Bacterial small subunit ribosomal RNA
Source: RNAcentral